This 262-nucleotide ribosomal RNA is filed under the name uncultured bacterium. RNAcentral describes it as "partial 16S ribosomal RNA". It matches the Rfam family "Bacterial small subunit ribosomal RNA", at positions 91 to 354 of the family's 1533-position model. The record is from RNAcentral.
CUUAGUGGCGGACGGGUGAGUAACGCGUGGGUAACCUGCCUUACACUGGGGGAUAACACUUAGAAAUAGGUGCUAAUACCGCAUAAGCGCACGAAGCCGCAUGGAUUUGUGUGAAAAACUCCGGUGGUGUAAGAUGGACCCGCGUCUGAUUAGCUUGUUGGCGGGGUAACGGCCACCAAGGCGACGAUCAGUAGCCGGCCUGAGAGGGUGGACGGCCACAUUGGGACUGAGACACGGCCCAAACUCCUACGGGAGGCAGCAG